GCAAGUCGAACGCGAACGAGUUCUUCGGAACUUUAGUAGAGUGGCGCACGGGUGAGUAACGCGUAAGUAAUCUACCCUCGCAUCCGGGCUAACCCACCGACAGGUGUGCUAAUACCUGAUACGUCUGGAAUUAUACUUUGAAUUCCGAGAACGGUUUCCUCUUCAUGAAAGCUACUGUGCGGGGAGGAGCUUGCGUACCAUUAGCUAGUUGGUAGGGUAACGGCCUACCAAGGCGAUGAUGGUUAGCGGGUCUGAGAGGAUGAUC
Molecule: ribosomal RNA, 265 nt
Filed under: uncultured bacterium
Lineage: Bacteria
Description: partial 16S ribosomal RNA
Rfam family: Bacterial small subunit ribosomal RNA
Source: RNAcentral